AAUAGAUACCCCGGUAGUCCACGCCGUAAACGAUGAGUGCUAAGUGUUAGAGGGUUUCCGCCCUUUAGUGCUGAAGUUAACGCAUUAAGCACUCCGCCUGGGGAGUACGGCCGCAAGGCUGAAACUCAAAGGAAUUGACGGGGGCCCGCACAAGCGGUGGAGCAUGUGGUUUAAUUCGAAGCAACGCGAAGAACCUUACCAGGUCUUGACAUCCUCUGACAACCCUAGAGAUAGGGCUUCUCCUUCGGGAGCAGAGUGACAAGUGGUGCAUGGUUGUCGUCAGCUCGUGUCGUGAGAUGUUGGGUUAAGUCCCGCAACGAGCGCAACCCUUGAUCUUAGUUGCCAUCAUUAAGUUGGGCACUCUAAGGUGACUGCCGGUGACAAACCGGAGGAAGGUGGGGAUGACGUCGAAAUCAUCAUGCCCCUUAUGACCUGGGCUACACACGUGCUACAAUGGACGGUACAAAGAGCUGCAAGACCGCGAGGUGGAGCUAAUCUCAUAAAACCGUUCUCAGUUCGGAUUGUAGGCUGCAACG
RNAcentral lists this ribosomal RNA (536 nucleotides) under uncultured bacterium. RNAcentral's name for it is "bacterial SSU rRNA". It matches the Rfam family "Bacterial small subunit ribosomal RNA", at positions 777 to 1312 of the family's 1533-position model. The record is from RNAcentral.